RNAcentral lists this ribosomal RNA (450 nucleotides) under uncultured bacterium. RNAcentral describes it as "bacterial SSU rRNA". It matches the Rfam family "Bacterial small subunit ribosomal RNA", at positions 329 to 794 of the family's 1533-position model. The record is from RNAcentral.
AGCCAGACUCCUACGGGAGGCAGCAGUGGGGGAUAUUGCACAAUGGGGGAAACCCUGAUGCAGCGACGCCGCGUGGGCGAAGAAGUAUUUCGGUAUGUAAAGCCCUAUCAGCAGGGAAGAAGAAAUGACGGUACCUGAGUAAGAAGCACCAGCUAAAUACGUGCCAGCAGCCGCGGUAAUACGUAUGGUGCAAGCGUUAUCCGGAUUUACUGGGUGUAAAGGGAGCGUAGACGGCAGUGCAAGUCCGGAGUGAAAGCCCGGGGCUCAACCCUGGGGCUGCUCUGGAAACUGUAAAGCUGGAGUGCGGGAGGGGCAGGCGGAAUUCCUGGUGUAGCGGUGAAAUGCGUAGAUAUCAGGAGGAACACCGGCGGCGAAGGCGGCCUGCUGGACCGUAACUGACGUUGAGGCUCGAAAGCGUGGGGAGCAAACAGGAUUAGAUACCCCGGUACU